UUGAGAGUUUGAUCCUGGCUCAGAACGAACGCUGGCGGCAGGCCUAACACAUGCAAGUCGAGCGCUACCUUCGGGUGGAGCGGCGGACGGGUUAGUAACGCGUGGGAAUAUACCCAGUUCUAAGGAAUAGCCACUGGAAACGGUGAGUAAUACCUUAUACGCCCUUCGGGGGAAAGAUUUAUCGGAAUUGGAUUAGCCCGCGUUAGAUUAGAUAGUUGGUGGGGUAAUGGCCUACCAAGUCUACGAUCUAUAGCUGGUUUGAGAGGAUGAUCAGCAACACUGGGACUGAGACACGGCCCAGACUCCUACGGGAGGCAGCAGUGGGGAAUCUUAGACAAUGGGCGCAAGCCUGAUCUAGCCAUGCCGCGUGAGUGAUGAAGCCCUAGGGUCGUAAAGCUC
Molecule: ribosomal RNA, 399 nt
Filed under: Rhodobacterales bacterium HTCC2255
Lineage: Bacteria; Pseudomonadati; Pseudomonadota; Alphaproteobacteria; Rhodobacterales
Description: bacterial SSU rRNA
Rfam family: Bacterial small subunit ribosomal RNA
Source: RNAcentral